RNAcentral lists this ribosomal RNA (380 nucleotides) under uncultured eukaryote. RNAcentral's name for it is "partial 18S ribosomal RNA". It matches the Rfam family "Eukaryotic small subunit ribosomal RNA", at positions 592 to 976 of the family's 1831-position model. The record is from RNAcentral.
CAAUAGCGUAUAUUAAAGUUGUUGCGGUUAAAAAGCUCGUAGUUGGAUUUCUGUUGGGAACGACCGGUCCGCCCAUUGGGUGUGUAUCUGGCUUGUUCUCGGCAUCUUCUUGGUGAACGUUGCUGCACUUGACUGUGUGGAGCGCUACCCAGGACUUUUACUUUGAGGAAAUUAGAGUGUUUCAAGCAGGCAUAUGCCUUGAAUACAUUAGCAUGGAAUAAUAAGAUAGGACCUCGGUUCUAUUUUGUUGGUUUCUAGAGCUGAGGUAAUGAUUAAUAGGGAUAGUUGGGGGCAUUCGUAUUUAACUGUCACAGGUGAAAUUCUUGGAUUUGUUAAAGACGGACUACUGCGAAAGCAUUUGCCAAGGAUGUUUUCAUUGA